ACCCCUGUAGCUCAGUGGAUAGAGCAUUGGUUUCCUAAACCAUGCGCGCAAGUUCGAUUCUUGCCAGGGGUACCA
This 75-nucleotide transfer RNA is filed under the name Chloroflexota bacterium. RNAcentral's name for it is "Chloroflexi bacterium tRNA-Arg". It matches the Rfam family "tRNA". From Rfam's summary of the family: Transfer RNA (tRNA) molecules are approximately 80 nucleotides in length. Their secondary structure includes four short double-helical elements and three loops (D, anti-codon, and T loops). The record is from RNAcentral. RNAcentral also lists the same sequence under 1 other name. Lineage: Bacteria; Bacillati; Chloroflexota.